Molecule: ribosomal RNA, 733 nt
Filed under: uncultured bacterium
Lineage: Bacteria
Description: bacterial SSU rRNA
Rfam family: Bacterial small subunit ribosomal RNA
Source: RNAcentral
GCAGUCGAGCGAACUGAUUAGAAGCUUGCUUCUAUGACGUUAGCGGCGGACGGGUGAGUAACACGUGGGCAACCUGCCUGUAAGACUGGGAUAACUUCGGGAAACCGAAGCUAAUACCGGAUAGGAUCUUCUCCUUCAUGGGAGAUGAUUGAAAGAUGGUUUCGGCUAUCACUUACAGAUGGGCCCGCGGUGCAUUAGCUAGUUGGUGAGGUAACGGCUCACCAAGGCAACGAUGCAUAGCCGACCUGAGAGGGUGAUCGGCCACACUGGGACUGAGACACGGCCCAGACUCCUACGGGAGGCAGCAGUAGGGAAUCUUCCGCAAUGGACGAAAGUCUGACGGAGCAACGCCGCGUGAGUGAUGAAGGCUUUCGGGUCGUAAAACUCUGUUGUUAGGGAAGAACAAGUACGAGAGUAACUGCUCGUACCUUGACGGUACCUAACCAGAAAGCCACGGCUAACUACGUGCCAGCAGCCGCGGUAAUACGUAGGUGGCAAGCGUUAUCCGGAAUUAUUGGGCGUAAAGCGCGCGCAGGCGGUUUCUUAAGUCUGAUGUGAAAGCCCACGGCUCAACCGUGGAGGGUCAUUGGAAACUGGGGAACUUGAGUGCAGAAGAGAAAAGCGGAAUUCCACGUGUAGCGGUGAAAUGCGUAGAGAUGUGGAGGAACACCAGUGGCGAAGGCGGCUUUUUGGUCUGUAACUGACGCUGAGGCGCGAAAGCGUGGGGAGCAAA